AUUUGCCAAGUUCACGGUACAAAGGGCGUGACGGAGCAAGCGGAUGGGGCUGCUCACAGAUGGCAGAGCUUCCUUCCACACUUGUGUAACUUAUCCCAGACGUUCCCGGAGAAGGGAAAGAGGGAGGGGAAAAAAAAAAAGGAGGAAAAAAAAAGGAAAAAGCAAAACCAGCUGGCUGCUUACACAAGGCAUCCGGAACGAUACUGCUGGGACUGCAACGUUUCCAUUCAGUGCAGCAGAGCAUGCUCCUGUGUAAAUAGUUUCCAUAUGUCAUCAUUACAAUAAAAAACAAAAAGGAAGAAAGAGAAGGAGCAUAAACUCUCCAGAGCCCAAACCUCUCCCUUUGCAAAACAAAUUCCCUGCUUCAGGGAAGGAAAAACUCCGAGGGCUGAGAGGGAGGGAAGCAAGGAACCAGGGAGAAACUCAAGUCUAUUUGGAUAUUCACUGAUCUUUGUUACCUGUAUUUAAUAAUUUUAAAAUCCACCUGGAAGCCUGCUAGGAGUUCAGGGAGUUACAAACCAACUCCACAGGACAGCCCCACGCAUGCCUCGGAGCUCCCCCAGGCUGGCUCUCAUCACCCUGUGCCGCAGCUGUUCUGCUUUCUAGCAAGCACAGACUUUUUAUGGCGUUACCCUGAAACAGGCUUAGAUGUUGCUAAUUAGACUCCAAAGCCACGUGUCUGUACCAGAUUAAGGGGGGGGUUCUCCUAGAAGGCUACGGAAGCCUACCUGUGAUGGCAGGACACCACAGGCUGCAGGGAAGGCAGCCCAAGGGACAGAAUUGAACAGAAACGUUCUCAUAGCUCAAUACGCCGCUCGUACAGCUCACGCAUCACGUGCAUGCUCCACGUAAGCCAGCAAAACGAACGGUGCUGGCGUUAGGGGUUGCAGACACGAGUAAUAUCUCCCUUAGAGGCAAAUAAAGGCAGGCAGAGGACACAGGACUUAGGUGCGAGGACACAACUUCGCUCACGCCGCCUUACGAGGUCAUUCCUUCUUCGUUACGUAUAACCUGGCACCAGCUUGGCCUUUUGCUUCCUUCUUGCAACCAUGUUUGUGAGAAGCGCUGUCCUGCAUUUACCCCUCUCCAGGAAGAAACAAGCCUUGGGGUUAUUAUUCCUUCCUUGGAAAGAGGCACGACCUCUGUCGAGAAGCACUUGCCAGCCACCUUGUCCCAGGGGAGCAGCGUCUCCCCGUCAGGGCUGGGUGCAGUUCCAGCAGCGCCUGCUGCUCGAGGCAAGUCAGACUUCCCCGAGCUGAGCAAAUAUUUCACACCUCCAGAUGUGCAACCUGGCCUUAAUGGCACGAGCAUCUUGGGUCUAACCCCAGCAGGGAGAGCACGAAGCAGUCUACGUCGCAUUUUCUCACUGCGGCGCUCGGCCAUUUGACCGGUGCCCUUUCUUUCCAGGCUCUGCCACACCACCUCUGUUUCUUACGCCACCCACCUCAACUGCAUUCAUGUCCGGGUACCCAAACUCAGCUGGUCGCAGGCUUUCAGCUGCAGAGGAGUGUAAGCAGGCACCCGGCAGCAUGGGGCACGUGCCCGGGGAGGAUGGAGGACGGCAUUUGGUGCCUCCAAAGGCUCCCAGAAGUGCUCCUCUCCUGGGAACCCCCCAGCAGCUGAGCCGUGCAGUGGGUGCCACUGCAGAAGAUGCAGCUGUGAAAAACCAUGGAAAGAAGGGAGAGGGCUGCCCUUCCCUGCACAAGCUCCUUCAGCCCCAAAGUCAAGAUUUUGACAGCACACAGGCCAGACAAAUCCCCACAGCAGCUGUGGCCUGGAAGCAGCCAGACCCUGAAGAGACACCGAGCACGUUGGCAUCGCAUCGGCACCGACGACGGCGUUUCCCUCUCCACGCGUUGACGUGCCACGGAGCUUCACCUUCGGCGGAUUUAUCACUCCGCUUCCCUCCGGUGCCAUGGAUAAGAAACUGCUCCUUUUAUUCUCAAGUGCCGAGGCGUGAGCACGCACGCAUUUGUCUCGUCAAGGCCAGGCUCACCUACCCAGGAGGGGAAAAAAAAAAAAAGCUGGAAGCCGCCUGGAAAGCACAGCUGGUUUGACACCGAGCCACGCAGCUCGGAGGUGAGAGACAGGCAGCAAGCUCAGCGCCCUCCAUGUGCCACUGCCAAGGGAAGUGAUGCAGGACCUAGCCUUUAGGUCUGAAAUAUCCCAGCACCCAUCCAGGGGAUGGGAUGGGGACGAUGCCAAGGGACAGGGACGAUGCCACGGGAUAGGGACGACACUUGCAGAGGCAACGGCAUCGGGGCUCUUUGUCUUGCUGCACUCUUGCAGCCUUCACCAGCUGCGAACCUCAACGAACAAAGCCACGUCGGCUUCCCAUUUAGCACAGGAAAGUUUUUCCAAAAUAUGGAUGUUGCCACUUCCUCUUAGCGGUACGAGACGAUUCGAGCCUCCCGUCUUCACUUUUAUUUGAGACUCCCGUUAGUUCCUGCAGCACGCACACGAGCUCGCAUCCCGCUGUCAUCCAGCGCGCUACAGGGAGCUGGAUCCGCAGGAAGGAUGAGCAGAUGUCCCCCAGCAUGGGGACUGCUGCAUCCUUGCUAACGUCUGCACCGCGCACACUUAAAAGCACCGAGGCACCAGCUACGCACAAUGACUGAAGAGCUAAAGCAUUGUCGGAAACUGUUUUGUCUCAGCAGAAGCAGUGCCUCCAGUCAGCUCUUGCUCCGAGCGGGUCAGAGCCCGAAUUUAGCUAGCUGCUUGUUCUGCCGCUCGCUACGCGACGCGAUGAUUCACACCGGCAUUCGCUUCCUGCACCACCCUGCUGGGGACAGAGAGACAGUCGUAAGGAAGAG
This is a long non-coding RNA of Cygnus olor (mute swan), 2813 nucleotides long. RefSeq lists it as uncharacterized. NCBI's taxonomy places the organism in Eukaryota, Metazoa, Chordata, Aves, Anseriformes, Anatidae. The record is from RefSeq and is a predicted model, not a curated record. The transcript has 2 exons.